RNAcentral lists this ribosomal RNA (197 nucleotides) under uncultured bacterium. RNAcentral's name for it is "partial 16S ribosomal RNA". It matches the Rfam family "Bacterial small subunit ribosomal RNA", at positions 328 to 539 of the family's 1533-position model. The record is from RNAcentral.
ACGCUCGACACCUACGGAGGCAACAGUGGGGAAUAUUGCACAAUGGGGGAAACCCUGAUGCAGCGACGCCGCGUGGAGGAAGAAGGUCUUCGGAUUGUAAACUCCUGUUGUUGGGGAAAAAGAGGAUGGUACCCAACAAGGAAGUGACGGCUAACUACGUGCUAGCAGCCGCGGUAAUCUGAGCGGGCUGGCAAGGC